Molecule: ribosomal RNA, 528 nt
Filed under: Bifidobacterium breve
Lineage: Bacteria; Bacillati; Actinomycetota; Actinomycetes; Bifidobacteriales; Bifidobacteriaceae
Description: bacterial SSU rRNA
Rfam family: Bacterial small subunit ribosomal RNA
Source: RNAcentral
AAUGCCGGAUGCUCCAUCACACCGCAUGGUGUGUUGGGAAAGCCUUUGCGGCAUGGGAUGGGGUCGCGUCCUAUCAGCUUGAUGGCGGGGUAACGGCCCACCAUGGCUUCGACGGGUAGCCGGCCUGAGAGGGCGACCGGCCACAUUGGGACUGAGAUACGGCCCAGACUCCUACGGGAGGCAGCAGUGGGGAAUAUUGCACAAUGGGCGCAAGCCUGAUGCAGCGACGCCGCGUGAGGGAUGGAGGCCUUCGGGUUGUAAACCUCUUUUGUUAGGGAGCAAGGCAUUUUGUGUUGAGUGUACCUUUCGAAUAAGCACCGGCUAACUACGUGCCAGCAGCCGCGGUAAUACGUAGGGUGCAAGCGUUAUCCGGAAUUAUUGGGCGUAAAGGGCUCGUAGGCGGUUCGUCGCGUCCGGUGUGAAAGUCCAUCGCUUAACGGUGGAUCCGCGCCGGGUACGGGCGGGCUUGAGUGCGGUAGGGGAGACUGGAAUUCCCGGUGUAACGGUGGAAUGUGUAGAUAUCGGAAA